Molecule: small nucleolar RNA, 207 nt
Filed under: Canis lupus familiaris (dog)
Lineage: Eukaryota; Metazoa; Chordata; Mammalia; Carnivora; Canidae
Description: Small nucleolar RNA U3 (ENSCAFG00000025851.4, ENSCAFG00805021127.1)
Rfam family: Small nucleolar RNA U3
About the family: Small nucleolar RNAs (snoRNAs) are involved in the processing and modification of rRNA in the nucleolus.
Source: RNAcentral
AAGACUAUACUUUCAGGGAUCAUUUCUAUAGUUUGUUACUAGAGAAGUUUCUCUGAAUGUGUAGGGUACCCGAAACCACGAGGAGGAGGCGCAGUGUUCUCUCCUGAGCGUGAAGGCUGCUUUUGGUGUUGCUUAUCAGGACUAUCAGUAAAAAGGAAGAUUGGUAUAGAGAUGCCUCUACUUUCAUAGAGCUUGCAAUCAAGUAGU